This 253-nucleotide ribosomal RNA is filed under the name uncultured bacterium. RNAcentral describes it as "partial 16S ribosomal RNA". It matches the Rfam family "Bacterial small subunit ribosomal RNA", at positions 524 to 776 of the family's 1533-position model. The record is from RNAcentral.
UACAGAGGGGGCAAGCGUUGUUCGGAAUUACUGGGCGUAAAGGGCGCGUAGGCGGCCUGUUAAGUCGAACGUGAAAUCCCCGGGCUCAACCCGGGAACUGCGUCCGAUACUGGCAGGCUUGAAUCCGGGAGAGGGAUGUGGAAUUCCAGGUGUAGCGGUGAAAUGCGUAGAUAUCUGGAGGAACACCGGUGGCGAAGGCGGCAUCCUGGACCGGCAUUGACGCUGAACAGCGAAAGCUAGGGGAGCAAACGGG